Molecule: non-coding RNA, 76 nt
Organism: Podarcis lilfordi (Lilford's wall lizard)
Lineage: Eukaryota; Metazoa; Chordata; Lepidosauria; Squamata; Lacertidae
Source: the annotation of a GenBank genome assembly
GACCGUAGCUCAAUGGUAGAGUGUUUGCCUUGAAUGCAGAAGGUCUGUGGUUUAGUUCCCAGGAUUCCCAGAUACA